AAUGGCCAUAGCUCAAUGUUAGAACAUCUGCCUAUUAUACAGAAGAUCCCAGGUUCAAUCCCUGUUGUUGUUG
Non-coding RNA from Podarcis lilfordi (Lilford's wall lizard), 73 nucleotides. The record is from the annotation of a GenBank genome assembly. NCBI's taxonomy places the organism in Eukaryota, Metazoa, Chordata, Lepidosauria, Squamata, Lacertidae.